Molecule: non-coding RNA, 8128 nt
Organism: Coturnix japonica (Japanese quail)
Lineage: Eukaryota; Metazoa; Chordata; Aves; Galliformes; Phasianidae
Source: RefSeq, a predicted model, not a curated record
CUAGCCCAGGUUUAGCCUACAGGGAACCCCCUGAGAGGCUCCACGUUCCCUGCAGAGCUCAGGGCAGCAGCUGCACGAGUGCCUGAGCUCAUUCUGUGCUGGAGGAUCCUCUCGGCCUUGAGUAGCCCAAGGCUUUUGCCCUGUUACUCCAGCACCAGUUGUCGUAAGGUCACGUGGCCGUGCCAUUGCUCUAAUGAACGUGGGAGUUGGAGUACUGCUUUUGGAUUAGAGAGCAUGGUGUAAGAUAGGACUUGACCUUAGCCUGCAGUGUUCUGCGGGAGAAUGUCGUUCUCGGAGGAGGGAGGUGCACAGCCCAGCCCACAGCAGAGCAGCUGUGAGCAGUGAUUGAAAGCACUCAAGCUGGAAAUAACGUGUGGGUUUUGUUGGGAGAGUAAUUUGGGCACUGGAGCAAGUCUGUGCAGGCAGCAGUGCUUUCUCCUUCUGCUUAAAGGGUGAAAGCAUCUUGGCAGCUCGCUUCUUCAGUUGCAUGCCCUUGUUUUGUUUAACCACCACUCAUUCAGUUCGGGCUGCUUAGCUGCUGUAGUAGCUUAGCUGUAGGAAAAAAAUGGAUUCUGUGCAUUCAGGGAAACAUCUGUCGUCCUUCUGGGCAGAACCUGCAGUGAAUGCUGUUCAUGGAGCAUGCAGAGAGCUCCAGUUCCAUUCUGCAGCCAUACUGUUGCUUCCAAGAGGAGAGGACAGGCUGCAAAAGGUGGAGGAGGUGGCUUAGCAGCACCGCCUCACAUCUCCCAAGUCAGGCAGGUCCUCUGUGAAGCCUGGGAUAUAUGUGUAGCACAUGACACACAAGGAAGGCUUUUGUUCAUGUUUGUUCUCAGGUUGUUGUGCAGCUUUGCUAGCUGAGCCCUUUUAAUUGUCUUUAGUACCCAGAACACUGGGCUUCAAUGCAGGUCAGCCUGAGCUGUGUGUGCCUGCCGUGAGUCUUUGCAGUAAGAAGUGAGGAGUGGAGCAUUUAAAUGGGGAAAAAAUAGGAGCUACAAUGCAGCUAGAUAAUGUCAAUCUUGUCAUUGCUUUUAAUAUUCACUGCCAGGCACAACGAUCAAACUUUGUCAUUUUUAAGUUAAGUAACCCUUAGUCCUACUCAGCUUCUGUCUGCAAACAUGAAAGGGAUGAGUGAACCCACAGCUGCUAACAGCACAUCUCAAUUACUUAUAUUUCACUAGGUAUUUAAAGAUUUAGGUCUGGGCGUAGAGGAUGAAAGGGUUUUUCUUUAUCUUUUAAUAAGAACCUUGUCUUUGCAGCUAGGAAAAAGAGGAGGGGCUGAAGCAUCCAGCAGCAUGUUCCUCUCUUCCCUGCUGCCUCCUCUGUGUGGGCUGGGGGUAGGGAGAUCCCACAGGGAGUAAAACCAUGACCCUCUUGGGCUCCUGCUUACCACAGCCCUGCCCCACUUCCCAAAAUUGAUGGGUAAGGAUGUGUCGUGUUGGAGUUCUCAUGACAUAGCCUGGCUUGCAAUGCAAGAGACUGAGCGAUGUACGUGGGAAUUAAAUACGUGGGGCUUUGCACGCUUUAAAUAUGAGCAACAAAGGGAAGGAUCAUCUCUUCUCAGUGCCUGUAAUGCGAGAAGCUUUGAAAAAUCCCCGUAGUCGUUUGCUCUUGCUGUCUCCACUGGCUGACAAACCCUUUUGGGAAAGGACAUUGUUAGCCUCGUGCUGCUGGGACCUGGUGUAAAACAAAGCCAGCAGCUCUCGUGUCCCCUCAAAGGCAGCAGUGUAUUGCAGGAACAGAGCUGCUCUCCUUGGAGUAGCUGUGCAGUCUUAGAAAUAAGAAAACAUACAGUCAUGGUGAUCGUAGAAACCAGUGUGAGUUAAAGCUUCUGCCCCUGUUCAGGAGAAGGGUGUGAGCAGCUCCCACACAGUCCAAAGCAGCAGCCAGCACCCCGCCAGCCCCACGCCAACAGGUCACAGCAAGCAAUGGAGCUACUUCAAGGGAGUUCAGUUUGGUGGUGAGCUGUUGUGUAUGGCAUAACAGCCUGCACUGGUGCCUUGGGAUGCUUGCUUUGCUGUGAGCUGAAGGAUGGGAUGUGGAUGGCUGUUUGAGAGGCAGCCUUGGGGUGAGGUGGAGCAGGGUACAGCAGUCCCCAUGUGCUCCAUGCCACCAAACUGAGCCACCUGUGUUCUUCUGCAGAAGCAUUCCUUGUCUGAUGUUUCACUGCACUGAACCCUGCCUGUAUUUGUGCCUGGCUGAGAAAGCCUUGGGGUGCUGUGGAAGUACCAGUAGCUCAGCUGCACACCUAAUCCAGGCCAGGGAUUUUCUCUGCUGUGCUUUCAUUCCUUUACUUUUUAGGCUUAUCCAGUUGUUACAGCCUUAGGGCCAGCCUGAUGGCAAGAGGCGCAAGGUGAGGAGGACAUCAUCCUGCUGGGGAGGUGUAGCUGGGAGCCAGGUGCACCAGGUGCCUCCCAUCCUGCUGCUUCCUCUCUUUGUAUCCCAGAGCUGUGUCCUUGCUCUCUCGAGUGACUCCUGAGAUGGAAAAGAGCUCAUUGCAGUGGUUGAACCCUGAGAGCUAACGCCUUUAGGUCACCUUUCCUGGUACCGCCUUCACCUUUGGUCCCUCUGCUCAUGUGUUUGUGCUCGGGCCAUCCUUUCCUCCCCUGAGCUCUGAAAGAAGUGCCCGGUGCAUCACACAGCUCACCCAGAUGUGCAAGGUCAGGAAGCCAGCAGGGGAAGGUCUGCCUCAGCCCGGUAAAGCAGGAGAGCCAGGUUAAACCAACAGUUGUCCUGUGAAGUGGCUCCCUGGGACAUUACAGAUGCAGGCUUUGCUCUUCUGAGCUCUGCUCAGGUACACACCCCACCUUGGAGGUGCUCCUGGAGGAUUCCACUACAAAGGAGAAAAAAAGUGAAGGGGAUUUUUGUUCUUAAUGUAAGAAUCCUGCAUCUAAGCUGUGCCUGUGGGCAUGUAUUUAACUGGUGAGAGCUGUCAGUUUUUCUUGCAGCGGAAUUUAUUAUUUUGCUGAUGCUGCUUCUGUCUGGAGUUAGUGUAGCAAUAACAGAGAUAGAAGCUCCGAUUCUUACCUGCAUGAUGUCACCAUGCUGCCCACUGGGCUUUGGGCAGCUCUAUUCUCCUCACUGUGCGGCAGGAGAUUCCAUCAGGGCCCCCAGGGUGAGAUUCAGAUGCUCACAGAUGGGGUCUGGGUAUCCGAAUCCUCCAGGGAAAUUUAUUGGGGGAUUGUAGUUUCCAGUGUUCUGAUUUCACAUCCAGAGGCAGUGCUUUGUAUGGAAACAGCUAUGGUUUUUUUCCUUUUGUCUCCUGAGUCUAUCCGGUCCCUUUCUAGCCUAAAGAGAUGUACUUAUCAUCAAUAUCACUGUCCUUACAUGGUGGUCUUACACAAGGUUGGAAUGAAGCUGUAGGCUAAGUCGUACACAUGUCCCAGAAGCAAUGGGCUGCAGGAGUGAUCUGCUGCCUCAGUUUAACAGUCAAAGCAGAAGAAAGCUGAGGGAACAGCCUCUUUUUUCUUCUUUUUUAGCUCAGAAGAGCACAUCUCUGCUAAUUGGCUGUUAAACGAGAUUGCUCUCUGCGAGGCACUCUUGCCUUAUGAAGCCUUUAAGGAAUAAUGCUCUGAUCAGCUGCACGUAGGGCGCUCAAAUACAAUCUGCCUAAUGAAUGUGGGGCUCAGAGCAUCAUUCAGACGUUAGGGAGCCAAGGUUUUGGGUUAAGGAGCAGCCCCUUGGGCUGGGAAUGUGCUUUUUUUCUGAAAUGCUAAUCUUGCAGACAACAAAGGCUGCUUUUUAAUCUCAAAGGCAGUGCAGUCAGGUUGGAGCUAUGGCUCUUAGCUGGAGGUUUCCAGGGCUGCACGCAUGUUAUCGCACGUCAGGACCACCGGUGAGCCACCCACUUGCCUGUGCAUCCUUUGGCCCAAUUACUGUGCAUACAAAUAUUAUGUUUGUGUAUGUUUACUCCAUUUGGAAAAAUCUGAGCCUUGAGGGAUUGCAGCUUCCUUUUGUUGUGAAGCAGACUAAGCUGAGAGCCAGCUGAAGAAAUGCUUCUUGCUCACCAAGCUGUACUUACGGGGGGGGUCUGGGAGCUGCCACGCUCUGUGAUGGGGUGGUGGGAAGGCUGCUGCUGGUGCUUUGAUUUGGGGUCAGAAAGGGCGGUGUGGAAGGAGGGGCUCUCUGAGCAUAGGCAGGCACCUUCCUUCCCUAUGCAAAUCCUGCUGUGCUAUGCACGGCUCAGCCCCAGCAGCCUGCUUGUUGUGGGGCAUGGAGAGGGCUCACAAUGCUUAGGUGCCUGUCCCCCAUCUCAACUGGCUGAUGCACAGCAGCCCAAAGCCAUGAUACCACACAGCAGGGGAGAAAUGAGAAGGAGAAUGGUGUGUGCUCUGCUACAUUAGAGCUAAUGCAGGGGGUGUUUUAUUGCUGAUAUUAAACCUGGAUGAGGGCAAAGAGAGAAUGCAGCUGAUGCACAGCACCUGCCCCUCACAAAGUGCCCAAGCCUGUAGAGACCUAGCAGUGAUUUGGUAAAUCACAAGCAGGUUUCCAGCCUUCCCUAUAAUGGUACUCUUACAUGCUACCCGUCCAAUGGCCUCAAUUACUGGUGCAGCAGAUUAAUCUAUAAAUUGAGGUGGGUGUAGAAAAGCCAUCAGAAAGCAGCAUUUAGUGCAUGGUGCCUCAUGCUCAGUGCUGUCUGCCUCUGGUUGUUCUGACCAGACAGAUAAUGCAGUGCCUUGUACUAAAUCAUGUCACAGGGAGAGCGCUGAAAAGUGGUCUGGGUGCAGUGUGCAUCUGCAGGGAGGUUUCUGCAUGCAGCAAUGUGCAUGGGAAGUAAAUGGGAGUAAUGAGAUCUGCCUGACCCCAGCAUCCAGCUCCUCUUUUCCCUGCUCCCCCCACCAUGCUGCUGGGAGCCCGUGGGCUGUGCUGCUGGUGCUGUGACCUGAGCCAGGGAUCAGCCUGGGGCCACAUGCUGCUGUUGCAGCCCCACGUGGAAGCGGAGCUGCUGGCUGAGCUGAGUCAGGUUGCCACCUCUUGGUAAGGUGACAUUACAGGAUGUCUGCCCACAGACUUUGGUGGCCUUUUCUUUGGGAGGGGAAAGGAGGAGGGGAGGAGGUUUCCUUUGCGAGGGCAAAAGGCUUUAAACAAAGCCCAAAUUCUGCAACUGCUGGCUAAGUUAAAAGAAUAAAAAAGCAGCACUGGCACUCUGUGCUCCUUUCCCAGCUCCUCCUGACCCAGAGAUGUGACCAUCUUUACUGGCGCCUUUCCUUUGUGCUCCUUUCUCAGAUGAGAAUGAUGUGAGAGUUUCUUCCCUUGGCAAGGUCUUUACCCUGCUUGUGUUUUGUGCUCACAGAAGGGGUUUGGGUUGGGAAGAGAAGGGCAGUUGGACUAGAUGGUAUUAGGGGUAAUUUCCAACCUUAAUGAUUUGCUGUGGCAGGGACUUCCUAGAAGGAAUGGAUGAGGUUUGAUUUGGUAUUAAUUGACUCCUCAAAUCUCUAGCAGCAGACCCUGAAGAGAGCUAGGCAUUGAAAGCCAUGAGGUAAGAGGAGGAGGUAUGGUGUGCCCUGGGAGCCCUGGGGUGGCUGUGUCCCAGCUGGGAUGCACGCUGUCCCUGCUGGGUGCCCAUGCUGGGGUCACAGCAUUUCCCUGCACACUUACGGUCAAGCUGCAGCCUGCAUUUUCCAAGGAGGCAUCCACUCACAAUGGAAAGACUUACAAUUUGGGAUCCACCACAUCCUUUGGGAAGCUGUUCCCAUGGUUAAUGCAUUUACCAUGUAACUAUUUCAGCUCCCUGAAGGAGAUCGAAGCCUCUGCUGGCAGCCUGCCUGCCUUACUCGGUGCUGCUGAGCUGCACUGUGGCCCUGGGACAGAAGCCUUGCUACAGAAGGGCUGGGUGACCUAUCCUAAAGCUGGGGACCCAGAGCUGCUCGCUAUGGCUGUGAACAUGGAUGGGAGUCUGUUUGGUCUUCAUUCAGCAGCACGCUGCUGGUCCUGGGUGGAUGGUACAUGCACAUCUGCUUUGCCCUCAGUGGCUGAUGGGUCACUCAGGAUUUGGGAAAUCCUCCCGUGCAGAGGCUGUGGGAUUCUCACCACUGAAUGCCAGAGACACUGUGUCACCAAGAGCCUGGCUGGGCUCUUGGUGUCCCCAUUCCACUUCCUAAGCAGCUUUUGGUGGGUGAAUGGUGACCAUGAGACCUGCUGCUCUGUGCAGGAGGUGCCCAGCCAUCCUCUUUGCCCUCCAGCCAGAAGGGCACAGCAGAGCGAGGUGACACCUGGGUCCCUUUGGGGUCUGGCAGUCUGUUUCCAGCCAGGUGGAUCCCUGGGAAGAGCAAGGCAGUGCUUCCAAGUGCGGCUGCCAAAGCUUAAAGGCUCAGAAGUGGCAGUCAAAGCUCUUCAGCCAAACCCUGGAGAAAGAACCAACAAGACAAUCUUAUUUUCUCAUAUUCUCUACACUUUGGGCUCUCUGCUUUUGUCUCUUGGUUUGUUACUGAGCUGUUGCUGUGGCCAUCAGCUGUAUUAAAAAAGCAAAGUGCAUCCUUCCAUUGGUUAACUUCCCAUUGCUUUCAGCAGGCUGGACUUCAGCUUCUGUACAGCAAAAACCUUUGAGGGCACUUCCCUCCAGACUUUGCCCCUGCAGUGCCCGCCCUGGUGGGCUCCUUUGGCCAGCUCUUGGUCUGUGUCGGGGCAGCACCAUGGAGGGGAAGGUAACUGAUGGACACACCAUUGAUGCUGCCCUUCUCUGAAGCAAUUAAAUGCGAUCGAGUCCAAUUUCUUGUUUUAUGGCUGCUCGUAGCAGUGCCCAAAUGUUUAUGGCUCCCUGUAGGCCCAUGUGCUGCCAGGACAGCCUUCCCACUGGAAGUUAAUAUAUGAUAGUCGUGCUAUUUAUUUCCUUGCAUGACACUGCAAAGCAGCCGCUGCCCUGGGUGGCGCAGGCUGGUUACUCAUUACAGCGAUACAUUUGUGCCAGAAUGCCCGGAUGCUUGCUCACCCUCCUUUAAUUUCCUGGGAACUUUCCCCUGUCCCAGGCUGCCCAGCUUUGCAAACAUUUGCGUGUGGAAGGCGGUCUAUUUGUUUUCAUCGGGACUUUGCUUAAAGCUGUUGGAUUAAUUGCUGGGGGAGGGGGAGACCCUCCUUGCUCCUGUCUGGCUUUCUCACCCAGUUCUGAUCAAAGCCUGCUGCUGUGGGAAGCUGACGGGGCUGAGUGCAGAACCCUGGGGUCCGGUGUUGUUGGAGGGGCAGUUUUCUCAGGCUAUUGGAGUGCCUGGCACCAUAAGGAGCAAUCUGCCAGCAGCCCCGGCUGCUCCGCCAUCCCCACGCAUUCAGUGCAAUCUCGUUAGUGCUGGAACAAUUCCAUUAGCAGCACUGCUCCACACGGUCUGCAGCAGCCCCUGUGCCGAUCAAAUCCAGGUCCACGCAGUGAGACAUUCCCUGCGUACCGAGAGAGCCCGAACAAAAGGUUUGCUGUUAGACAAAGGGGAAGGAGCCGGCCUCCAAAGGGAGGCAGAAUUCCUCCUCCCGUCACCAGCAGUUAUUUUCUGGCUGUUCUUUUUUAAGAGCUGGUUUUGUGACUGCGGGUCCUUUUGCGUUUGAAGAUGUCGACGUUUUUAAGGUCUCACGGUGAAAUCAUGUCAGGGCCAGCGGUUCCAGCAGCUCUGAAUGUUCUCAAACAAAUGCCUUCUAAGAUAAAAAGCCGUAUGUGCUCAAUCCCAGCCCAGCACUGUGGCCAUGGUUGUUUUAUUUGAAACCUCCAGGCUGAGCUCAGCGCAGUCGCAGGAGCUGCGGGUGCUGGGAGUUGUUCAUUCACUCUUAUUGCUGUGCCUCAAUAUGGGCACCGGUGUGCUCAGCAGGAUCCAAUGGAUCCACGUGAGAACAGUUUGGGGAGUUCUGAUGUUUUAGCUGAAAAGAUUUUAACGAGUGUUUUUAGCUUUUUCUUCCCCCACUUGGCUGCCAUAAGCUGAUCAGCUCAGCUUCACCGUGGUUUUGCACAGUGCAGUAAAUGUGAAUCUUGGAAGCACAUGGAGAAUGCACUCAGGGACCGGUCAGCGUGCAGACGGUGCGUCCCCAUAGGGCAAGGCACAGGGUGAAGAGGCCGAGCGGUAUCAGCGGCCUCCUGGGGAAGAUCGGCUCCAAAAAGCAGAAGAUGAGCACACUGGAGAAGUCCAAGCUGGACUGGGAGAACUUCAAGGAGGAG